UAAAAGUCGUAACAAGGUUUCUGUAGGUGAACCUGCAGAAGGAUCAUUAGUGAAGAUUUGGGCAGGCCAUACGGACGCCAAAAAGUGUCCCUGGCCGCCUACACCCACUAUACAUCCACAAACCCGUGUGCACUGUCUUGGAGAAAGGCUUCAGAGAAGUUUUUUGUGGCCUCUCUUGGGGUCUUUCUUCGCUACAAACUCGAAUGGUUAGUAUGAACGUGGAACUUGGUUGGACCGUCACUGGCCAACAAACUAUACACAACUUUCGACAACGGAUCUCUUGGUUCUCCCAUCGAUGAAGAACGCAGCGAAACGCGAUAGGUAAUGUGAAUUGCAGAAUUCCGUGAAUCAUCGAAUCUUUGAACGCACCUUGCGCUCUAUGGCAAUCCGUAGAGCAUGCCUGUUUGAGUGCCAUGAAAUCUCCCACCCCAAGCAGUUUUUAAAUGAAACGGCUUGGCGGAUGGGGUCUGGAUGGGUGCCUCUGCCUGCGCUACCUAGCACAGGCUCGCCCGAAAUGCAUGAGCGCCUUGAGACACUUUGCAUCCGCCUCUCUGUUUGGGAGGAGGCGGCCAAGCAGUGUUUUUCUCCUGGCAUGGCAUGAUACGUCAUUUGCUAUGUCGCCUAAAGGAGGAAUGUUUGGUUGUGUCUGCGUGUGCUUCGAACUUGCCUCUGUGGCACAUCCCAAUUUCACUUCUGGUCUCAAAUCAGGUAGGAUCACCCGCUGAACUUAAGCAUAUCAAUA
Molecule: ribosomal RNA, 742 nt
Filed under: uncultured eukaryote
Lineage: Eukaryota
Description: eukaryotic LSU rRNA
Rfam family: 5.8S ribosomal RNA (bases 261-414)
Source: RNAcentral